Molecule: transfer RNA, 87 nt
Filed under: Candidatus Karelsulcia muelleri
Lineage: Bacteria; Pseudomonadati; Bacteroidota; Flavobacteriia; Flavobacteriales
Description: Candidatus Sulcia muelleri tRNA-Ser
Rfam family: tRNA
About the family: Transfer RNA (tRNA) molecules are approximately 80 nucleotides in length. Their secondary structure includes four short double-helical elements and three loops (D, anti-codon, and T loops).
Source: RNAcentral
GGAUAGAUGGCAGAGUGGGCUAUUGCGGCGGUCUUGAAAAUCGUUGAGUGUAAAACACUCCGGGGGUUCAAAUCCCUCUCUAUCCGC